AUGGCUCAGGAUGAACGCUAGCUACAGGCUUAACACAUGCAAGUCGAGGGGCAGCAUUGGGAUAGCUUGCUAUUCAGAUGGCGACCGGCGCACGGGUGAGUAACGCGUAUCCAACCUUCCUGCCAGUAGGGAACAGCCCGGCGAAAGUCGGAUUAAUGCCCUAUGUUCUUCAAUGCGGACAUCUAAGUUGAAGGAAAGAUUCAUCGCUGGCAGAUGGGGAUGCGUCCGAUUAGCUUGCCGGCGGGGUAACGGCCCACCGGGGCGACGAUCGGUAGGGGUUCCGAGAGGAAGGUCCCCCACACUGGUACUGAGACACGGACCAGACUCCUACGGGAGGCAGCAGUGAGGAAUAUUGGUCAAUGGGCGUAAGCCUGAACCAGCCAAGUAGCGUGCAGGACGACGGCCCUACGGGUUGUAAACUGCUUUUAUGCGGGGAUAAAGUGCGGCACGUGUGCCGCUUUGCAGGUACCGCAUGAAUAAGGACCGGCUAAUUCCGUGCCAGCCGCCGC
Molecule: ribosomal RNA, 509 nt
Filed under: uncultured bacterium
Lineage: Bacteria
Description: bacterial SSU rRNA
Rfam family: Bacterial small subunit ribosomal RNA
Source: RNAcentral